RNAcentral lists this ribosomal RNA (924 nucleotides) under uncultured bacterium. RNAcentral's name for it is "bacterial SSU rRNA". It matches the Rfam family "Bacterial small subunit ribosomal RNA", at positions 1 to 896 of the family's 1533-position model. The record is from RNAcentral.
UAGAGUUUGAUCCUGGCUCAGGACGAACGCUGGCGGCGUGCCUAAUACAUGCAAGUCGAACGAGCUGAACCAACAGAUUCACUUCGGUGAUGACGUUGGGAACGCGAGCGGCGGAUGGGUGAGUAACACGUGGGGAACCUGCCCCAUAGUCUGGGAUACCACUUGGAAACAGGUGCUAAUACCGGAUAAGAAAGCAGAUCGCAUGAUCAGCUUAUAAAAGGCGGCGUAAGCUGUCGCUAUGGGAUGGCCCCGCGGUGCAUUAGCUAGUUGGUAGGGUAACGGCCUACCAAGGCAAUGAUGCAUAGCCGAGUUGAGAGACUGAUCGGCCACAUUGGGACUGAGACACGGCCCAAACUCCUACGGGAGGCAGCAGUAGGGAAUCUUCCACAAUGGACGAAAGUCUGAUGGAGCAACGCCGCGUGAGUGAAGAAGGUUUUCGGAUCGUAAAGCUCUGUUGUUGGUGAAGAAGGAUAGAGGUAGUAACUGGCCUUUAUUUGACGGUAAUCAACCAGAAAGUCACGGCUAACUACGUGCCAGCAGCCGCGGUAAUACGUAGGUGGCAAGCGUUGUCCGGAUUUAUUGGGCGUAAAGCGAGCGCAGGCGGAAGAAUAAGUCUGAUGUGAAAGCCCUCGGCUUAACCGAGGAACUGCAUCGGAAACUGUUUUUCUUGAGUGCAGAAGAGGAGAGUGGAACUCCAUGUGUAGCGGUGGAAUGCGUAGAUAUAUGGAAGAACACCAGUGGCGAAGGCGGCUCUCUGGUCUGCAACUGACGCUGAGGCUCGAAAGCAUGGGUAGCGAACAGGAUUAGAUACCCUGGUAGUCCAUGCCGUAAACGAUGAGUGCUAAGUGUUGGGAGGUUUCCCCCCUCUCAGUGCUGCAGCUAACGCAUUAAGCACUCCGCCUGGGGAGUACGACCGCAAGGUUG